Fukomys damarensis (Damara mole-rat) is the source of this 3479-nucleotide long non-coding RNA. Lineage: Eukaryota; Metazoa; Chordata; Mammalia; Rodentia; Bathyergidae. The record is from Ensembl.
CUAGGACUGAACAUCAGAGGCCUGGAUGUCACCCUGGCCUGCUCUAAGCUUGCUGUGAGACCAUAGGCAAGGCCUCUCAUCGUGCCUCAGUUUCCCCGGUGUUUACUAUGGAAACUCUGAGCCCCAACACUCUCCCUAUCAGCUCCGAGUCAGGCUCCCCCAGCACACCAGCAGGGCCAGCGGGCUGAAGGGCUAUAGAGGGGCCAUCUCCUCCCCACCCACGGGCACACAGGGCCCUCAAUGAAAAACACGGCGUAUACAAAUAAUUAAAAGGAAGAAUUGGAGUGAUUAGGGCAGAUGAUUAUUGUCAAAUUAUGAUUUAUCUUGUAGUGGAAUUAGUAUUCCCCCAAAGGGCCUGGCGUGGCGCGGCGCCCGGCACGGCCCGUGAUUAAUCGCCGUCUCCAGAAGGUCACCUCCAGCCACUGCAGAUUAACUCAGUGGGGAAACUUCUUUCCGUAAUUCAAGCUGUUGUUCCCACAACCUGUCAUCCGCCUCGGAAAAGGACGAUUUCGUCAGGAGCCCAGGGCGGGGGCUGGCGGACUCCUGGGCCCCCCGGCCGCAGACAUGAUGUAUGCUCAUUUGUCCCCUCAGCAAGAGAGAGCGCUCCCAGGCCCAGGGAUCACACUCUCCCACCUCCUCCACCAGACCAGGUGCUCUCUGGGCCUCCUACAUCCAUCUGCCCAGCGCAGUGCAGAGCAAACCAGCCGGAGAAGGUGCUUCUUCUGGAAACCAUCUGGGAAGAACUGCCUGGCAGAUACCGCCCCCUCCCCGUGUUCACACACUGACUCCUCCGAACAAGCUAGAGAAGCUCAUUCACCUCAUUUUGCAGAUGAAGAAGCAAACCAGAGAGGUGGGCGUGACUUACUCAAGGCCAAGGGCUGGAAGUAGCAGAGGUGGCUGCAUGGGGGGAAGGCGUCCUGUCCAGCUUCCCCCUCAGCCCACUCUCUGGAGCCCUGGACUCCCCACAGAGGUGGCUCCAAAGCCUUUAUCCCCAUCCUUCCCCAGACCCAAGUGGGAAGUGGCAGGGAGGCAGAUGUCCUGAGCACAGAAGCUGCUUCCCGUGAGUUCUGGAUCUGGUUCUAAUCCCAAGCCAAGCCCCUCACCAGCAAGAAGCCCUGGGCAGGUUACUUUACCUCUCUCCGCCUCUGUUUUCUCAUCUGUAAAAUGAGUCCUAACCUCACAGGGCUGUUACGUGGAUGAAUGAGACUGGGGUCUGGGCUGGCAAAUAGCAAGUGUUAUGAAACGUGCCUAUUUGGGGUUGUUUUAUAAUGUUCAUUACCCGCUUAAUUACUUGGAGAGGGGUUAAUUAGUUGAGGGAGGGUAUGAUAGCCUGGUAGCUUCACCAUCUUCAGAAAAGAAACUGAGUCAGAGCUUUUCUUUGAGGAUCUCACCAGAUUAACUGUCUUGAAAGCCAGCUAAAAUUCUGUCCUUCCAACACCACCAAGAACCCUCCAUCGCUCCCCACUCGUGGAAUCCAGCACAAAGGCCUAACCAGGCCAGCUCGUCCCUGUUCCUAAAAUAUUCUCUGUUUGUUCCUGCCUGGCUGCCUUUGACCAAGUCGGGGCCUCUGCCUACAAUGCCACUUCCCUCCUACCUCCACGUUUGUUAUCAAAAUCUUUCAAAGCUCCGCCUAAAGGCCACGCCCUCAGGGAAACUAAGCCCCUAACUCCCCCCACCCCGCAAGGGGCCCUGGGGGCCCCUAGGCCACGCACUCUGCACCCCCUUCGCGGGUUGUCGAGGCCUUCCCAGUCUAACCCCAGAUGCAGGCGCAGGAUACGCAGUGGGUGCCCCGACCUUGGGGAGCACAGCCUGCUCCCCCACCCGCGUCGCUGCAGCGCGGCGGCCCGGCUUUGAUCCGGCUGCCUCCGCGCCCCAAACCUGAUUGGCAUCGAAUUACGCCGCGCGGCGCGGGGAGAUAAUGGCGGGAGGCGCGGCAGACAUGAAAGUGGGGGCGCAGCGGCAGUCCGGGCCGUUGUUAAUGACCCAAUAAAAAGGAAGAGGGGGGAGAAAUAACCCUCCCUUCCCUCCCCGCCCCCAAGACAGCGGCCGGUGCACACAAAGCUGCCGCCGACUCGGAAAUUACCGCGGCUCAGCCCAGCGCAGCGUGACUGGAGCGGGGGCGGGCUCACCUGGCUGGGACGCGAGGGGGACGCGAGGGAGGGCGGGCGCUAGUCACGGGGACACUCGAGAGCGGGCACACAGCCGCACACGCUUGCACACACACCGCGCUUGUCUGUAACAGCUUUUGGUCGUUGAUUUUUUUGCUUUAAGUGUGAUUUUUUAAAAAAUACACAUGACAUUGUUUUGUCGGAUUACUGAGUUGUUUUGGAAUCCUCUUAAAUUCUGUGCCCACCUUAGGCCUGGUCACUCACAUACAGCACCGUGUAGUCGCAAGUCCAGUGUAUCACAUACACACAGUUGUGGAUGGGGAUUUUGCUCAGUGGUGCCACCACCUACCUUGCAAGCGAGGUCCCACGUUCGAUCCCCCGUACCAAAGAUACGCACAGAUGUAACAGUCUCACACAGUCACACACACAGAGAUACAGUCUACCUAGGGACACUUUGGGGAACACAGCCACACGGAUACACACAUGCCCAAUAAGGGUACAGAGAUGCUUACACAGAGACAUACCCAGGAGUAAGACAAACAUACAUGUCAAAAAUAUACAUGGAGAGCCGGGCGUGAUGGUGCAUGCUUGUGAUCCCAGCACUUGGGAGGCUGAGGCAGGAGGAUUGCUGUGAGUUCGAAGCCAGCCUGGGCUACAUAGUGAGUUCCGGGUCAGUCUCAACUACAUAGUGGGACCCUGUCUCAAAAAAAACAAACAAAAAAAACACACACACAUGGAGGGGCUGGAUAUCUAGUUCAGUGGUUCUACCAACAGCCUUGGAAGCAUAAGGUCCUGAGUCCAAACCCCAGUACAAUAAAUAAAUAAAUACACAUGGGGCCGGGCAGGGUGGAGCAGGCCUGUAAUCCCAGCACUCAGGAGGCUGAGGCAGGAGGAUUGCCACAAUUUAAGGCCAGCCUGGCCUACAUAGUAAGUUCAGGACCAGCCAUACACACACACACGAGACACAUAAAUGGGGAGGAAACUCACAGGGACUGAGACCCAUCACACAGGGACACAGAUGAACACAAUUGAGAUCUGUAGACAAACAUAAGCAUUCAGAAAUACAUAGGGACAAGUACACACAUGAUGUUCUGAAAAAACACCCACACAGACAAUAGGCCCCUAACUAGUGAUACACACAUCCAAGCAUCCCUCAGCAGUGUCUCUGGGAAACACCACUUAUGCCCUCAAAGCCCUCCAUUUCACACCCUCAUGCAUUGUCCAGUGUGUUCCUAUGAGUCAAAGCAGAGACAAGAGUGCAUCAUGGGCCACAGAGCCCAAGAUCAGUCCACCUACCCCGGCACAUGGUGGCAGUGGGGAGGCGUGUGGGUAGAACCACUGGGACAAGUGGUUUGAUGGUCAGAAUCUCAA